This 316-nucleotide unclassified non-coding RNA is filed under the name fungal sp. RNAcentral's name for it is "partial internal transcribed spacer region". The stretch from base 1 to 46 matches the Rfam family "Eukaryotic small subunit ribosomal RNA", at positions 1786 to 1831 of the family's 1831-position model. The record is from RNAcentral. Lineage: Eukaryota; Fungi.
AAGUCGUAACAAGGUUUCCGUAGGUGAACCUGCGGAAGGAUCAUUAACACGUACGAAAGUACACACCAACACUGUGAACCUUUUUGGUACAACCUCUCCCUUUCGAUGUGGGCUGUUAGUAUGGAUGCUGCUAUAGGACAUUCAUCUAGCAGGCUCGUGUCUUUACACGAACCCACUCUGAAGGUUACCUUUUCCUUAGCACAAUUUACCAUUAUCACCUAUAAUUACAUUUGUCUAAUGUAGCGGCACAGAGAAAUCCGUGCAGCUUGAUUAUCUAAACUAAGCACAACUCUUAGCAAUGGAUAUCUAGGUUCUC